GACGAACGCUGGCGGCGUGCUUAACACAUGCAAGUCGAACGGAAAGGCCCUGCUUUUGUGGGGUGCUCGAGUGGCGAACGGGUGAGUAACACGUGAGUAACCUGCCCUUGACUUUGGGAUAACUUCAGGAAACUGGGGCUAAUACCGGAUAGGAGCUCCUGCUGCAUGGUGGGGGUUGGAAAGUUUCGGCGGUUGGGGAUGGACUCGCGGCGUAUCAGCUUGUUGGUGGGGUAGUAGCGUACCAAGGCUAUGACGGGUAGCCGGCCAGAGAGGGUGACCGGCCAGGCUGGAACUGAUACACGGGCCAGACUGCUGCAGGAGGCAGCAGUGGGGAAUGUUGCGCAACGGACGAGAGGCGGACGCAGCAACGCCGCGCGGGUGAAGAAGGCCUUCGGGGUGGAAAGAGCUGUGGAGUGGGACGAAAAGGAAAGGAGGGCACAGAUCCAGGAACCGAGGGUACCACUAAAGGAAACACCCGCUAACGCCGUG
Molecule: ribosomal RNA, 489 nt
Filed under: uncultured bacterium
Lineage: Bacteria
Description: partial 16S ribosomal RNA
Rfam family: Bacterial small subunit ribosomal RNA
Source: RNAcentral